This 374-nucleotide ribosomal RNA is filed under the name uncultured bacterium. RNAcentral's name for it is "partial 16S ribosomal RNA". It matches the Rfam family "Bacterial small subunit ribosomal RNA", at positions 338 to 729 of the family's 1533-position model. The record is from RNAcentral.
CCUACGGGGGGCAGCAGUGGGGAAUAUUGGACAAUGGAGGGAAGCCUGAACCAGCGACGCCGCGUGAGGGAAGAAGGAUUUAGGAAUGGAAAGCUCUAUUAGCAGGGAAGAAAAUGACGGUACGUGACUAAGAAGCCCAGGCUAACUACAUGCCAGCAGCCGCGGUAAUACGCAGGGGGCAAGCGUGAUCCGGAGUUUCUGGGUGUAAAGGGAGCGGAGAGGGCUGUGCAAGUGUGGAGUGAAAGGCGGGGGUUCAACCCCCGGACUGCCCGGGAAACUGUAAAGCUGGAGUGUAGUAGCGGUAGGCGGAAUUCAUGGUGUAGCGGUGAAAUGCUUAGAUAUUAGGCAGAACACCAGUGGCGAAGGCGGCUUAC